GUGUGCAGUGGGAUAAUGUAUAUGGAAACCAUUCAGUGCACAAUGGUAGGUGGAUGUAAUGUGGGCAGAUUUAUUUUGCCAACCUCCUUUGUCCUUACAGCGACGGUGGCUUAGCACUGAGCAUCGAUGCUUCAUUGGAGCAAGCUGCAGAUCUCAAGCAAUCCUUUCUGAGAGCAGGCUGGAGGCUGAAGGAGGGGCUGGGGAGACGUGUCAGGAGGCCUCUGGAUGGCAGCUGGGAGGUUCUGGCGUGGAACUGAAGGUCUCUGUCCUUGGAAGGAGGGGAUUCCUGCUGCUGUGCCUCCCUGCAGCUCGCAGUGGGUUUUACCAGGAGCUCCAGCCUUUCUUCUGGCCAAGAAGAGGUCACGUUUCCUGCGAGGAAGGGAGCUGCUCACAAAAGGAAAGGAUGAAUAUCGGAACAGCACAGUGCUGUGAAGAUGACUGCUCCGGGUGACACCCAUCAUUGCUCACAAUGCCCUGCCAGGACCUGCCAGCCUGGGGAGAGGAGAACCUGCACGUCCUUGCGUUGCUACGUACAGGCCUGUUUGCUUCAGUUUCUUUUGACAAAUAGAGAACACUUCAAUUUCUCAUGGACUGGAAUCAUUGGUGGAGGUGCCUCUUCCCCAGGUAUUGGACGUGGUGUCCAGCCGAGCUGCAGCAGCUCCUGGCUGAGGUGGCUGGCUCUGCACAACUUGUCCUGCACUCUCUGUUCAUCUCUUGAAGAACUCCAUCUCCCGUCCCAGGAGCGUAGAAGUGAUCUAGAAGGUAGGAGCAGCUUGUAUUUUUAGAAUGUACGCAGGCAUUGGCUUAUUUCAGAGGUAUUCAAGUGUUCUCUGUACAGUCAGUGUGGGGCACAGCACAGCGCCCAUCUCGUGCUGCAGUGCUGAACACAAGUUUGGAUCUAUUUUCCUACAGCAGAUUUUAAUGUUGGCUCACAGGGAGGGGGUUCCAGCAUUUUAUUUUUUUGCAGCUCUUUAUGGCCAACACCACAGGGCGGGCUCAGCCCGUCCUGCCAAGCACCAGACUGCCGUGCUCUGCAGUAAAAGAGAUAGUUUAUUUUUUUGCCGAGAUCUCCCAGAAAACUUGGACUUCCUCUUCAUUAUUUGUACCUAAUCUUGUCCUUAGUUGUGAUGUUCUUUGUUCUGGAUGUAUGUUUGUUUUUUUUUUUUUACUAUGUAUAUCUGAAUAAAAAUACUUUUAUUUUUUAACUUUGUGUUGUU
RNAcentral lists this long non-coding RNA (1217 nucleotides) under Numida meleagris (helmeted guineafowl). RNAcentral's name for it is "lncRNA (ENSNMEG00000012168.1)". The record is from RNAcentral. Lineage: Eukaryota; Metazoa; Chordata; Aves; Galliformes; Numididae.